Molecule: ribosomal RNA, 1475 nt
Filed under: metagenome
Description: bacterial SSU rRNA
Rfam family: Bacterial small subunit ribosomal RNA
Source: RNAcentral
AGAGUUUGAUCCUGGCUCAGGACGAACGCUGGCGGCGUGCCUAACACAUGCAAGUCGAACGGACGAGGCCCUUCGGGGCCGAGUUAGUGGCGAACGGGUGAGUAACGCGUGAACAACCUGCCUCUUUGAGGGGGAUAACACCUGGAAACAAGUGCUAAUACCGCAUAAGACCACAUUACCGCAUGGUAAAGUGGUCAAAGGAGAAAUCCGCAGAGAGAGGGGUUCGCGUCCCAUUAGCUAGUUGGCGGGGCAACGGCCCACCAAGGCGACGAUGGGUAGCCGAGCUGAGAGGCUGAUCGGCCACACUGGAACUGAGACACGGUCCAGACUCCUAUGGGAGGCAGCAGUGGGGAAUAUUGGGCAAUGGGCGAAAGCCUGACCCAGCAACGCCGCGUGAGGGAAGAAGGCCUUCGGGUUGUAAACCUCUGUCCUUAGUGACGAAGGAAGUGACGGUAGCUAAGGAGGAAGCCCCGGCUAACUACGUGCCAGCAGCCGCGGUAAUACGUAGGGGGCGAGCGUUGUCCGGAAUUACUGGGCGUAAAGGGUGCGUAGGCGGUACUUUAAGUUGGAUGUGAAAUCCCCGGGCUUAACCUGGGGCCUGCAUCCAAUACUGGAGAACUAGAGUGCAGGAGAGGGAAGCGGAAUUCCUAGUGUAGCGGUGAAAUGCGUAGAUAUUAGGAGGAACACCAGUGGCGAAGGCGGCUUACUGGACGAUGACUGACGUUGAGGCUCGAAAGCGUGGGGAGCAAACAGGAUUAGAUACCCUGGUAGUCCACGCCGUAAACGAUGACUGCUAGGUGUCGGGUAGCAAAGCUAUUCGGUGCCGCAGCUAACGCAAUAAGCAGUCCACCUGGGGAGUACGUUCGCAAGAAUGAAACUCAAAGGAAUUGACGGGGACCCGCACAAGCGGUGGAGCAUGUGGUUUAAUUCGAAGCAACGCGAAGAACCUUACCUGAUCUUGACAUCCCGAUGACCGCUUCGUAAUGGAAGCUUUUCUUCGGAACAUCGGUGACAGGUGGUGCAUGGUUGUCGUCAGCUCGUGUCGUGAGAUGUUGGGUUAAGUCCCGCAACGAGCGCAACCCUUAUCUUCAGUAGCCAGCAUUUAGGAUGGGCACUCUGGAGAGACUGCCAGGGAUAACCUGGAGGAAGGUGGGGAUGACGUCAAAUCAUCAUGCCCCUUAUGACCAGGGCUACACACGUGCUACAAUGGCGUAAACAAAGGGAAGCAGAGCCGCGAGGCCGAGCAAAUCUCAAAAAUAACGUCUCAGUUCGGAUUGUAGUCUGCAACUCGACUACAUGAAGCUGGAAUCGCUAGUAAUCGCAGAUCAGAAUGCUGCGGUGAAUACGUUCCCGGGUCUUGUACACACCGCCCGUCACACCAUGGGAGUCAGUAACGCCCGAAGUCAGUGACCCAACCGAAAGGAGGGAGCUGCCGAAGGUGGGACCGAUAACUGGGGUGAAGUCGUAACAAGGUA